This 443-nucleotide ribosomal RNA is filed under the name uncultured Rhodospirillaceae bacterium. RNAcentral describes it as "bacterial SSU rRNA". It matches the Rfam family "Bacterial small subunit ribosomal RNA", at positions 29 to 505 of the family's 1533-position model. The record is from RNAcentral. Lineage: Bacteria; Pseudomonadati; Pseudomonadota; Alphaproteobacteria; Rhodospirillales; Rhodospirillaceae.
AACGAACGCUGGCGGCAUGCCUAACACAUGCAAGUCGAACGGGAAGCGAGACUUCGGUUUCGUGGAGAGUGGCGCACGGGUGAGUAACGCGUGGGGACCUGCCGAUGAGUACGGAAUAACGAUUGGAAACGAUCGCUAAUACCGUAUACGCCCUAAGGGGGAAAGAUUUAUCGCUCAUUGAGGGUCCCGCGUCCGAUUAGCUAGUUGGUGAGGUAGAGGCUCACCAAGGCGACGAUCGGUAGCUGGUCUGAGAGGAUGAUCAGCCACACUGGGACUGAGACACGGCCCAGACUCCUACGGGAGGCAGCAGUGGGGAAUAUUGGACAAUGGGGGCAACCCUGAUCCAGCAAUGCCGCGUGUGUGAAGAAGGCCUUAGGGUUGUAAAGCACUUUCACGGGUGACGAUGAUGACGGUAACCCGAGAAGAAGCCCCGGCUAACUCCG